RNAcentral lists this ribosomal RNA (592 nucleotides) under uncultured bacterium. Its description in RNAcentral is "bacterial SSU rRNA". It matches the Rfam family "Bacterial small subunit ribosomal RNA", at positions 909 to 1502 of the family's 1533-position model. The record is from RNAcentral.
AUUGACCGGGACCCGCACAAGCGGUGGAUGAUGUGGAUUAAUUCGAUGCAACGCGAAGAACCUUACCUGGUCUUGACAUGUACGGAAUCCUCCAGAGACGGAGGAGUGCCUUCGGGAGCCGUAACACAGGUGCUGCAUGGCUGUCGUCAGCUCGUGUCGUGAGAUGUUGGGUUAAGUCCCGCAACGAGCGCAACCCUUGUCAUUAGUUGCCAUCAUUUAGUUGGGCACUCUAAUGAGACUGCCGGUGACAAGCCGGAGGAAGGUGGGGAUGACGUCAAGUCCUCAUGGCCCUUAUGACCAGGGCUUCACACGUCAUACAAUGGUCGGUACAGAGGGUAGCCAAGCCGCGAGGUGGAGCCAAUCUCACAAAACCGAUCGUAGUCCGGAUUGCACUCUGCAACUCGAGUGCAUGAAGUCGGAAUCGCUAGUAAUCGCAGGUCAGCAUACUGCGGUGAAUACGUUCCCGGGUCUUGUACACACCGCCCGUCACACCAUGGGAGUGGGGGAUACCAGAAGUAGGUAGGGUAACCGCAAGGAGCCCGCUUACCACGGUAUGCUUCAUGACUGGGGUGAAGUCGUAACAAGGUAGCCA